This 362-nucleotide ribosomal RNA is filed under the name Pseudomonas sp. 'mevalonii'. RNAcentral describes it as "bacterial SSU rRNA". It matches the Rfam family "Bacterial small subunit ribosomal RNA", at positions 31 to 393 of the family's 1533-position model. The record is from RNAcentral. Lineage: Bacteria; Pseudomonadati; Pseudomonadota; Gammaproteobacteria; Pseudomonadales; Pseudomonadaceae.
AGGGAUGUGGGGGGCGGGCCUAACACAUGCAAGUCGAGCGGAUGACGGGAGCUUGCUCCUUGAUUCAGCGGCGGACGGGUGAGUAAUGCCUAGGAAUCUGCCUGGUAGUGGGGGACAACGUUUCGAAAGGGACGCUAAUACCGCAUACGUCCUACGGGAGAAAGCAGGGGACCUUCGGGCCUUGCGCUAUCAGAUGAGCCUAGGUCGGAUUAGCUAGUUGGUGGGGUAAUGGCUCACCAAGGCGACGAUCCGUAACUGGUCUGAGAGGAUGAUCAGUCACACUGGAACUGAGACACGGUCCAGACUCCUACGGGAGGCAGCAUUGGGGAAUAUUGGACUAUGGUUGAAAGCUUGCUCUAGCC